CCUACGGGCGGCAGCAGUGGGGAAUAUUGCACAAUGGGGGAAACCCUGAUGCAGCGACGUCGCGUGAGUGAAGAAGUAUCUCGGUACGUAAAGCUCUAUCAGCAGGGAAGCAAAUGACGGUACCUGACUCAGAAGCCCCGGCUAACUACGUGACAGCAGCCGCGGUAACACGGCGGGGGCAAGCGUUAUCCGGAUGUACUGGGUGUAAAGGGAGCGUAGUCGGCAGCACAAGUCUAGAGUGAAAUCCCGGGGCUUAACCCCGGAACUGCUUUGGAAACUGUGCGGCUGGAGUGCAGGAGGGGUAAGCGGAAUGCGUGGUGUAGCGGUGAAAUGCGUAGAUAUUAGGAAGAACACCGAUGGCGAAGGCGGCUUACUGGAGUGUAACUGACGUUGAGGCUCGAAAGCGUGGGUAGCAAACAGGAUUAGAUACCCCAGUAGUC
RNAcentral lists this ribosomal RNA (440 nucleotides) under uncultured bacterium. Its description in RNAcentral is "partial 16S ribosomal RNA". It matches the Rfam family "Bacterial small subunit ribosomal RNA", at positions 338 to 795 of the family's 1533-position model. The record is from RNAcentral.